CCGAGUCUAAACAACUCCCAAACCCCUGUGAAUCUACCCACUGUUGCUUCGGCGGGAGCGCCCCGGGCCGCCCGCGCCCGGAUCCAGGCGCCCGCCGGAGGCCCCAAACUCCAGUUGUUAUAGCGGAUAUCCUCUGAGUCAAACACACAAAUAAAUCA
This 158-nucleotide unclassified non-coding RNA is filed under the name uncultured Nectriaceae. RNAcentral's name for it is "sequence contains ITS1". The record is from RNAcentral. Lineage: Eukaryota; Fungi; Ascomycota; Sordariomycetes; Hypocreales; Nectriaceae.